Capra hircus (goat) is the source of this 1146-nucleotide long non-coding RNA. RefSeq lists it as uncharacterized. The record is from RefSeq and is a predicted model, not a curated record. NCBI's taxonomy places the organism in Eukaryota, Metazoa, Chordata, Mammalia, Artiodactyla, Bovidae. The transcript has 3 exons.
UCCGUCCGUCCUCCGGAAGUGGGUCCGCGGCAAGUGCCACCUCCCGUCAUCCCGCCUUAUCUCCCCCUGCCUAUCACCACCGCCACCAAGGGAGCACGGAACGUGACUCUGCAGGACUUGAGGUUGUUUUGCAGUUACUAUUCACAGAACUGCAGACGAGGUGUGGGCAGGACAGAGUGCGGGUGACAAAAGACAUGGGGACAAGAGUAACGGCUGUGCAAGAAGGGGGCGGGGCAGAGUGUGGCGGAAGCCGGAGCUAGGGUCACGUCGAGCCUCGCGGGAAGAAGAGCGCAUGCGCAUGACACCUCGGCCAGGUGGUGAAGUUUGGUGCUUGGACAGCCUGGCCAGGCUGGACUUGGGCGGGAAGGGGGCGGAGCGAGAGCCCGGAAGUGAGGGCGGAGUCGGCCGGGGCAGUCUUGCCCGGUCCCCUCGGUUUUACUGUCGCAGCAACCUGCCUCUUUGGGGUUCUGAAGAAGGCUUAAGCUGGCCCACUCUCUGGAUUCGAGUCCUGGUGAGAAGCAAUUCUGGAAGCACCAAGGCCUGUGUUCACCCGUUCUUGCGCUGAGAGCUCUGUAGCAGUACUAGAAGAAAGCUGCUUUGUUUAUUGCUUACUUUUCUCGCUGCAUCUCUAACGGAGGCAGGACCUUCCUUGGGUCUGAAAAGAGACUACUCAUACAAUUGUGUCAGAAUUGAGUUAAAUUGUAGGACAACCAGCUGGUAUCCCAGAGGACUGCUUGGUGGGAGAAAACGCCCAUGCGUUUGGUGUCAGAGACAAUAGACUUGUUCAAAGGAAAAGUUAAUUAUUUCCCACCUCCACGUACCUUAUCCUGCUGAAAGGAACCACUUUCAAAUUUAGUGGAUAUCUUUCCAAAUAAUUUCUCUCUACAUACAUACAGAUAUGUAACAUGUACAGAUUUCACAGUUCAAAGACAGGUAUGUAACUUUGUUUUCUGUAACACAGGCCAGUUUCUGUUUUAGGCCUCAUUCACUCUGAUAGCAGAAAAACUAAGUGUAGUUAACUCAGAAUAAAUGUUCACACUUCAUGAUUUGCUUAUGUAUUAAUGAUCAGUUAAUUCAGGCUUAAUCUGCCUGCACUGUGGGAGACCUGGGUUUGAUCCCUGGAUUGGAAAGAUCCCCUGGAGGAGG